This 456-nucleotide ribosomal RNA is filed under the name uncultured bacterium. Its description in RNAcentral is "bacterial SSU rRNA". It matches the Rfam family "Bacterial small subunit ribosomal RNA", at positions 340 to 786 of the family's 1533-position model. The record is from RNAcentral.
UACGGGAGGCAGCAGUGGGGAAUAUUGCACAAUGGGCGAAAGCCUGAUGCAGCUAUGCCGCGUGUAUGAAGAAGGCCUUAGGGUUGUAAAGUACUUUCAUCGGGGAGGAAAAACAAAACUAAUAAUUUUAUUUCUUGACGUUACCCGAAAAAGAAGCACCGGCUAACUCCGUGCCAGCAGCCGCGGUAAUACGGAGGGUGCUAGCGUUAAUCAGAAUUACUGGGCGUAAAGAGCACGUAGGUGGUUUUUUUAAGUCAGAUGUGAAAUCCCCGGGCUUAACCUAGGAACUGCAUUUUGAAACUGAAAUACUAGAGUAUCGUAGAGGGAGGUAGAAUUCUAGGUGUAGCGGUGAAAUGCGUAGAUAUCUGGAGGAAUACCUGUGGCGAAAGCGGCCUCCUAAACGAAUACUGACACUGAGGGUGCGAAAGCGUGGGGAGCAAACAGGGAUUAGAUACC